CACGUAGGGCGCAAGCGUUGUCCGGAAUUAUUGGGCGUAAAGAGCUCGUAGGCGGUCUGUCACGUCUGCUGUGAAAUCCCGAGGCUCAACCUCGGGCCUGCAGUGGGUACGGGCAGACUGGAGUGCGGUAGGGGAGAAUGGAAUUCCUGGUGUAGCGGUGGAAUGCGCAGAUAUCAGGAGGAACACCGAUGGCGAAGGCAGUUCUCUGGGCCGUAACUGACGCUGAGGAGCGAAAGCGUGGGGAGCGAACAGG
Molecule: ribosomal RNA, 253 nt
Filed under: uncultured bacterium
Lineage: Bacteria
Description: partial 16S ribosomal RNA
Rfam family: Bacterial small subunit ribosomal RNA
Source: RNAcentral